CUCCCUCGUUGCUGACCCCAGGUUCGAUAGUGCCAAUCAGACACCACCUCGCCAAGAACCAACUUCGAUGAAGCGACGGGCGGUGUGUGCAAGG
Molecule: ribosomal RNA, 94 nt
Filed under: uncultured archaeon
Lineage: Archaea
Description: partial 16S ribosomal RNA
Source: RNAcentral